ACGGCUCAUUACAAUGGCCAURAUUUACUUGAUCUUGAUURUCUAAAUGGAUAACUGUGGAAAAGCUAGAGCUAAUACAUGCACUAAAGCUUUGUCCUUACGGAAAGCGCAUUUAUUAGAACAAAACCACGCGGCUUCGGCUGCUUCUUGUUGACUCAGAAUAACUAGCUGACCGCAUGGCCUUGUGCSGGCGGCGUGUCUUUCAAGCGUCCACUUUAUCAACUUGACGGGAGCAUAAUYGACUCCCGUGGUGGUGACGGAUAACGGAGGAUCAGGGUUCGACUCCGGAGAAGGGGCCUGAGAAAUGGCCACUACGUCUAAGGAUGGCAGCAGGCGCGCAAAUUACCCACUCUCGGCUCGAGGAGGUAGUGACGAGAAAUAACGAGAYYGUUCUCUUUGAGGCCGGUCAUCGGAAUGGGUACAAUUUAAACCCUUUAACGAGUAUCAAGCAGAGGGCAAGUCUGGUGCCAGCAGCCGCGGUAAUUCCAGCUCUGCAAAUACAUAGAAUUAUUGCUGCGGUUUGAAAGCUCRUAGUUGGAUUCGUAUCGRUACCYUGGAACCCUNNGGGUGUCUCUNGGGUGUUAUCGAUUUAUCGUAAUGUUCGGUUUUGAGUCCUUAACAGGAUUCUUAACAGGCAUUGCAAGUUUACUUUGAACAAAUCAGAGUGCUUCAAACAGGCGUUUUCGCUUGAAUGAUCGUGCAUGGAAUAAUAGAAAAUGAUUUCGGUUCAGUUUUAUUGGUUUUACGGACUGAGAUAAUGGUUAACAGAGACAAACGGGGGCAUUUGUAUGGUCCCGUGAGAGGUGAAAUUCUUGGACCGUGGCCAGACAAACUACAGCGAAAGCAUUUGCCAAGAAUGUUUUUAUUAAUCAAGAACGAAAGUCAGAGGUUCGAAGGCGAUCAGAUACCGCCCUAGUUCUGACCGUAAACGAUGCCAACUAGCGAUCCGCCGAUGGAAAUUAUAUUGCCUUGGUGGGGAGCUUCCCGGAAACGAAAGUCUUCCGGUUCCGGGGGAAGUAUGGUUGCAAAGCUGAAACUUAAAGGAAUUGACGGAAGGGCACCACCAGGAGUGGAGCCUGCGGCUUAAUUUGACUCAACACGGGGAAACUCACCCGGCCCGGACACUGUGAGGAUUGACAGAUUGAUAGCUUUUUCAUGAUUCAGUGGAUGGUGGUGCAUGGCCG
RNAcentral lists this ribosomal RNA (1184 nucleotides) under Nematoda environmental sample. Its description in RNAcentral is "SSU rRNA". It matches the Rfam family "Eukaryotic small subunit ribosomal RNA", at positions 93 to 1301 of the family's 1831-position model. Lineage: Eukaryota; Metazoa; Nematoda. The record is from RNAcentral.